This 267-nucleotide long non-coding RNA is filed under the name Carica papaya (papaya). Its description in RNAcentral is "long non-coding RNA (CPAP_LNC010297)". The record is from RNAcentral. Lineage: Eukaryota; Viridiplantae; Streptophyta; Magnoliopsida; Brassicales; Caricaceae.
AUUAACGAUUAAAAAUAUAUGUCUAAUUAAUAGAAUUUCACUCCCGAUACUCUAAAACCAUCAAUAACUAAUUAAGACAUGACUUGGCCAAGUCUCAACCAAAUUAAUUUCAAGAUUGCAUGCCUCCUUUUUUCCUUUUCAAAGCUGCUCAUUUUUCCUCUUUAGAGAUGCUUCCUUUUUCCUUUUCAAAGCAAUUUCUUUUUUCCUCUUCAGAUAUGCUCAUUCUUCUUGUUCAGAAUUGCUCCCUUUUUCUUUUUCGGCGUUGCU